UCUUACUUUAUCCUUAUUCCUGACCUUAAAUGUUUAAUAAUUCUUUACAUUUUCUGUUGGAAUUAAAGCUUGGAUGUGCUGCCUGAGAUUAAAAUUAAUUUAUCUCAAAUCAAGUUUAUUGAUUUAAAAUGUUUUAUUUUUGUUAAAUAUUGUGGUGGAUAAAGGAUGAAUGCUGAGUAUUAUUCACAUACCUUUAUCAUUUUAAUUUUAAACUUGGAUAUGCUGUGUCACAAACAGGAUGCUUCACCAGCUAGUAGAAAAAAUAUGUAUAUAUCUUUUUCUGGAUAGGUAUUUGGUGUUCCUCCAGUUGAGAUCUCCACUUCGUACCUUAGGCCCGUAAAUGGAUGAUGACAUUGAUGUUCGGCGGGAAUGCAUACUCAAGGGGCUGUGUGUGUACCUCAGUGAAGACCCGGAAAAAUGAGCGAGAGAAUACACUGCAGAAGACAAAGGCCUGAACCAAGGAGCCAUUGGGGAGACCAUGGUGGGAUUACGUGAGAUGCCACUGAUGGACCAGAGGACAUUGGGAUUUUCCUAGAAGGCCAGGUGGUUCUGCAUGAUCUGGACAACGUUGCCUUAGCUGCUGCCAUGUUGUUUGGACUAAUGUAUGCCUUGAACCUCAACUACCCUCCUGAACUUAAGUACUCUUAAUUCUAUUACUCUUUAAUUCCAGAACCCUUGCAGUUAAAGGAGCACAAUAACUUUCCAAGCACUGGAUUUACAUUUACCAGAGUGUAAUGAUUUCAUUACAUUUGUCUUUUUUGUUGUUAAGAGGUUGUAAAUGUAGUGGAUGUAUUUUGCACUUUUUUGCAUAAUUUCUGCAUUAAUCUGGCUGUAGUAUAAUUCCCUAUUGAUGCUGGUUUGAUGUCAUUCAGAAGGUUUUUAAUGACCUACAGUGUUGCCUCAGGUUGUAGCAGAAUGUUUACAAUGCAUUCUUGAUAACUUGGCUACCAAGUGGAAAAAGGUGAUUUGUUUUAAUGUGAGAAUGGUUUGUAUAUGUAUGCCUUUAUUUGUGUAUAAAUUGCAUUGAACCAA
Molecule: long non-coding RNA, 1032 nt
Organism: Micropterus salmoides (largemouth bass)
Lineage: Eukaryota; Metazoa; Chordata; Actinopteri; Centrarchiformes; Centrarchidae
Exons: 3
Source: RefSeq, a predicted model, not a curated record